CAGCAGCCACGGUAAUACGAAGGGGGCUAGCGUUGCUCGGAAUGACUGGGCGUAAAGGGCGCGUAGGCGGUUUGGACAGUCAGAUGUGAAAUUCCUGGGCUUAACCUGGGGGCUGCAUUUGAUACGUUCAGGCUUGAGUGUGGAAGAGGGUCGUGGAAUUCCCAGUGUAGAGGUGAAAUUCGUAGAUAUUCGGAAGAACACCAGUGGCGAAGGCGACUGACUGGACAAGUAUUGACGCUGAGGUGCGAAAGCGUGGGGAGCAAACAGGAUUAGAGACCCCCGUAGUCCCUGUCUCUUAUAC
Molecule: ribosomal RNA, 301 nt
Filed under: uncultured bacterium
Lineage: Bacteria
Description: partial 16S ribosomal RNA
Rfam family: Bacterial small subunit ribosomal RNA
Source: RNAcentral